AGCAGUAGCCACGGUAAUACGGAGGGGGCUAGCGUUGUUCGGAAUUACUGGGCGUAAAGCGCACGUAGGCGGCUUGGUAAGUUAGAGGUGAAAGCCCGGAGCUCAACUCCGGAAUUGCCUUUAAGACUGCCGAGCUAGCAGGUGAGAGAGGUAAGUGGAAUUCCGAGUGUAGAGGUGAAAUUCGUAGAUAUUCGGAAGAACACCAGUGGCGAAGGCGGCUUACUGGCUCAUACUGGACGCUGAGGUGCGAAAGCGUGGGGAGCAAACAGGAUUAGAUACCCCCGUAGUCCCUGUCUCUUAUAC
RNAcentral lists this ribosomal RNA (303 nucleotides) under uncultured bacterium. RNAcentral's name for it is "partial 16S ribosomal RNA". It matches the Rfam family "Bacterial small subunit ribosomal RNA", at positions 507 to 807 of the family's 1533-position model. The record is from RNAcentral.